Molecule: non-coding RNA, 597 nt
Organism: Oryctolagus cuniculus (rabbit)
Lineage: Eukaryota; Metazoa; Chordata; Mammalia; Lagomorpha; Leporidae
Source: RefSeq, a predicted model, not a curated record
CACAUUUUCUUUAUCCAUUUUUUUGGUGAUGCACACUUAGGGGUUGCCUCCAGGUCUUGGCUACUGUGGUGGACAUGGAAGUGCAGACACGAUCUUCAUAUGUGGGAGUACCCUGCUUUGUUGCAAUGGACCAAGGACUAACGAAGCAUGAAAUCAAAGAAGGCAUGAGGCUAGAGAACAGCCUAGCUCUGGGUACAGUGAAUGGACAAGACUUAAAAUCUUCUUAGACUCACCACCUUAGCAAUGCAGAUCCUACAGAUGGGAAUUCAGCAGUGUGAAGUUUUCUUUGAAGAUUUCUUCAGGCUCUAGUUCCAGCUAAAGGUCUUCUUAUUCCUAAUGCCAAGGUGUAUUUAACCACAGUGCUAAUCAUUGGGGUUACUACUGACACCUCUUCUUUUGAUGUUAACCUGCAUAACCUUAUUUGGGUGGUCCCUUCUCCACCUUUGAACUCCUUUUCUUGAAAGCAGGACAACUGUCAUUCCUGCUGAUGGCUGGUAUUUGUCAUGUGCACUCUUUAUAUAAUCUUGGUCACAAUGAUGAUGCUUUCUUGCAAAAUGUUUGAACAGAAUACAUGAAAUGAGUGAAUGUGGCAAUUUA